This 493-nucleotide ribosomal RNA is filed under the name Bacillus licheniformis. Its description in RNAcentral is "bacterial SSU rRNA". It matches the Rfam family "Bacterial small subunit ribosomal RNA", at positions 492 to 983 of the family's 1533-position model. The record is from RNAcentral. Lineage: Bacteria; Bacillati; Bacillota; Bacilli; Caryophanales; Bacillaceae.
CACGGCUAACUACGUGCCAGCAGCCGCGGUAAUACGUAGGUGGCAAGCGUUGUCCGGAAUUAUUGGGCGUAAAGCGCGCGCAGGCGGUUUCUUAAGUCUGAUGUGAAAGCCCCCGGCUCAACCGGGGAGGGUCAUUGGAAACUGGGGAACUUGAGUGCAGAAGAGGAGAGUGGAAUUCCACGUGUAGCGGUGAAAUGCGUAGAGAUGUGGAGGAACACCAGUGGCGAAGGCGACUCUCUGGUCUGUAACUGACGCUGAGGCGCGAAAGCGUGGGGAGCGAACAGGAUUAGAUACCCUGGUAGUCCACGCCGUAAACGAUGAGUGCUAAGUGUUAGAGGGUUUCCGCCCUUUAGUGCUGCAGCAAACGCAUUAAGCACUCCGCCUGGGGAGUACGGUCGCAAGACUGAAACUCAAAGGAAUUGACGGGGGCCCGCACAAGCGGUGGAGCAUGUGGUUUAAUUCGAAGCAACGCGAAGAACCUUACCAGGUCUUG